AGUGAACGCUGGCGGUAGGCCUAACACAUGCAAGUCGAACGGCAGCACAGGAGAGCUUGCUCUCUGGGUGGCGAGUGGCGGACGGGAGGAAUACAUCGGAAUCUACUCUGUCGUGGGGGAUAACGUAGGGAAACUUACGCUAAUACCGCAUACGACCUACGGGUGAAAGCAGGGGACCUUCGGGCCUUGCGCGAUUGAAUGAGCCGAUGUCGGAUUAGCUAGUUGGCGGGGUAAAGGCCCACCAAGGCGACGAUCCGUAGCUGGUCUGAGAGGAUGAUCAGCCACACUGGAAAUGAGACACGGUCCAGACUCCUACGGGAGGCCGCAGUGGGGAAUAUUGGACGAUGGGCGCAAGCCUGAUCCAGCCAUACCGCGUGGGUGAAGAAGGCCUUCGGGUUGUAAAGCCCUUUUGUUGGGAAAGAAAUCCAGCUGGCUAAUACCCGGUUGGGAUGACGGUACCCAAAGAAUAAGCACCGGCUAACUUCGUGCCAGCCGCCGCCGUAA
Molecule: ribosomal RNA, 504 nt
Filed under: uncultured bacterium
Lineage: Bacteria
Description: partial 16S ribosomal RNA
Rfam family: Bacterial small subunit ribosomal RNA
Source: RNAcentral